CCCUUAGAUGUUCUGGGCCGCACACGCGCUACACUGGCAGGUUCAUCGAGCCUCAUGCCCUGAUCUGAGAAGAACGGGAAAUCUUUGAACACCUGCCGUGCUUGGGAUAGAUGUUUGCAAUUAUUCAUCUUCAACGAGGAUUGCCUUGUAAGCGCACGUCAUCAGCGUGCAUUGAAUACGACCCUGUAUUCUGUACACACCGCCCGUCGCUCCUACCGAUUGAAGUUUUCGGUGAAUUUACUGGAGAUCCCUUUUGAAGGUGGUUCGCCACUGGAAGAAGUAUUCAAAAGUAAAUGAAUCGAAUGCUUUAGAGGAAGGAGAAGUCGUAACA
Molecule: ribosomal RNA, 331 nt
Filed under: uncultured eukaryote
Lineage: Eukaryota
Description: partial 18S ribosomal RNA
Rfam family: Eukaryotic small subunit ribosomal RNA
Source: RNAcentral